AAAACGAAAAAACCACCCGGCAAGGUGGUUUUUUCGAAGGUUCAGGAAACCGGCAAGUUUCUGAACCUUGGUAACUGUCUUGGAGGAGACGAGUCACCAAAUCUGUCCUUCAGUGUAGCCGUAGUUUGCAUUGCACUUCAAGAACUCUAAGUCUCAUCUCCUCUAUCUCUGUUACCAAUGGCUACCGCCAGUGGCGUUUUGUCGUGUCUGUCAGGGUUGGAUUCAAGAGAGUGUUACCUGGUAUGGCGUGGUAGUCGGACUAAACGGGGAGUUCGUGCAGAUAGUCCAGCUUGGAGCG
RNAcentral lists this unclassified non-coding RNA (298 nucleotides) under Rahnella sp. 'WMR15'. Its description in RNAcentral is "rna II". The record is from RNAcentral. Lineage: Bacteria; Pseudomonadati; Pseudomonadota; Gammaproteobacteria; Enterobacterales; Yersiniaceae.